Molecule: ribosomal RNA, 497 nt
Filed under: uncultured bacterium
Lineage: Bacteria
Description: partial 16S ribosomal RNA
Rfam family: Bacterial small subunit ribosomal RNA
Source: RNAcentral
GACGAACGCUGGCGGCGUGCCUAAUACAUGCAAGUUGAGCGCUGAAGGUUGGUACUUGUACCAACUGGAUGAGCAGCGAACGGGUGAGUAACGCGUGGGGAAUCUGCCUUUGAGCGGGGGACAACAUUUGGAAACGAAUGCUAAUACCGCAUAAAAACUUUAAACACAAGUUUUAAGUUUGAAAGAUGCAAUUGCAUCACUCAAAGAUGAUCCCGCGUUGUAUUAGCUAGUUGGUGAGGUAAAGGCUCACCAAGGCGAUGAUACAUAGCAGACCUGAGAGGGUGAUCGGCCACAUUGGGACUGAGACACGGCACAAACUCCUACGGGAGGCAGCAGUAGGGAAUCUUCGGCAAUGGACGAAAGUCUGACCGAGCAACGCCGCGUGAGUGUAGAAGGUUUUCGGAUCGUAAAACUCUGUUGGUAGAGAAGAACGUUGGUGAGAGUGGAAAGCUCAUCAAGUGACGGUAACUACCCAGAAAGGGACGGCUAACUACGUG